AGCAUAAAUUAUGCUACUGACAGAAAUAACCUACAUGGUUCCAAAUAUAGAAUGAGUGUUGGCCUGAGGCUAUUUUAUGUUGAUUUCUCUUUUCAGAUGUUUUAGAAGACUAGAGGGAGAGCAACCCAAACAAAAAGCUGAUUCCACACACAAGCUGCUGGCUGAGCUAUGUUCAGUCUGAAGAGAUUCCAGAGGAAACUUCAGAGGAGAUAACAGCAACAGAGACAAGUAGAAGUUGGUCUUGGGAGCAAUUCUGUGAAGGCCUACAGGAAUCUUUGGAUGGAGUGAGGGAUAGGAAAGAAAGAAAAGCGGUACAAGAAGAAGAUGGAAAGAUCCAACCAUCCUCUGUAGGAGCUGAAUCCCUGAUCGUGGCUGCUGCUUGCUAUGAACUCAAGAUAAUGAAACGCGAUACCAGCACCAUGGGAUUAGCAGCUACAUCAUGGAGCUUUUGAAGACUGUAGUAGGGAAAUAUGACACACUUGUUGCCAACGCUGAUACUGAUGCAAUAGAUUUCUUCAAAUGCCACAGACUCACCGAUGACCGACUGCUCAGUGAACAGUUAAA
Long non-coding RNA from Carassius gibelio (silver crucian carp), 564 nucleotides. RefSeq lists it as uncharacterized. NCBI's taxonomy places the organism in Eukaryota, Metazoa, Chordata, Actinopteri, Cypriniformes, Cyprinidae. The transcript has 4 exons. The record is from RefSeq and is a predicted model, not a curated record.